CGGGAGGCGGGAAGGUCGGACGCUGACAGAGCUGUCGCCUCAGUUAAACCUGAAAUAAACAGGAGAAAGCAGCAAUGUCUUCUGACAUGUCACAAUAUACUAUUGGGGGAGUGAAGAUUUUGUUCCCUUGCAAGGCUUACCCUUCACAGCUUGCUAUGAUGAAUGCUAUCGUUAAGGGCUUAAAUACCAGGCAGCACUGCUUGUUGGAGAGCCCCACAGGAAGUGGCAAAAGCUUGGCAUUACUUUGUUCUGCAUUAUCAUGGCAGCAGGCUCUGUAUGAGAAAUCACUGCUGAAAUCAUCAUGUGAAAAGGAGGACAGAAAGGAGCCAGCAGCCGCCCCACCGUGUUGCUGUGUUUGUCAUUCCCUAUCCAAGAGCAGCGAGGAGGCUACAGGAGCGAGUCAUGGUGCUGCAUGUUCCAGUAAUCAUGAAACAGGAGGCUCUGUAAAAACUGGAGGCCAACAAACAGACGCAGAAUGCAAGGAAAACAAUACCCUAGCUUCAAAAUUGUCUGCCAAAAAAAGGGCAUCUGUAUGUGGAAACGAGAGCGAUGACUUUCAAGUAGACAGGAAGAGGAUUCGUCCUUUAGAAACAGAGCAGCAGGUUAGAAAACGUCAUUGCUUUUCAAAAGAGGUGCAGCUGGUUGAUGCUCUAGAAGUUUAUAAUCAGAGAAAAAAUGGGGAGCUGGUUGUUCACUCUGAAAAAAGUGUAAAAAACACUUCUCCCAAAACGCUUUCCAUCCCUUGCACGGAGUGUUCCUGUUCCUCUGGAAAAGAAACUCGUAAAGAUGCUGGUAACACAAAGAAGAAAGCAAAUGGAGAUCAAAUGUUCAUUCCCAAAAUAUUUUUUGGAACGCGAACGCACAAACAAAUUGCCCAGAUUAGCAGGGAGUUGAAGAGGACAGCGUAUUCCGGUGUCUCUAUGACGAUUCUCUCCAGCCGGGAUUACAGCUGUAUUCACCCAGUGGUGUCCAGUAGUAGUAGCAACAGGAAUGAACUGUGUGUAGAAUUACUGGAAGGAAAGCAUGGCAAGUCCUGUCUUUACUAUCAUGGUGUUCAUAAACUCACUGAACACUAUGCCCUGCACUCUGCACAUAACACAUACCAGGCUUGGGACAUUGAGGAUCUAGUGAGCCUGGGAAAGAAACUUCGUGCCUGUCCAUACUUUGCAGCCAGAGAACUCAUGGUUGGGGCAGAUAUUGUAUUUUGUCCUUAUAACUACCUCCUAGAUCCACAGAUAAGGGAGAGUAUGGAAAUUAACCUGAAAGGCCAGGUAGUCAUUUUGGAUGAAGCCCAUAAUAUUGAGGACAGUGCUCGGGAGGCAGUGAGCUACAGUGUUACAGAAAGUCAGCUGAAUGCUGCUCGAGAAGAGCUAGAUUUCAUGGUCAAUAACAACAUCAGACAGAAGGAUCAUGAGCACCUGCGGGCUGUGUGCUACUCUUUGACAAACUGGCUACGGGCAAGCUCUAGUCAGCUGGUAGAAACAGGGUAUGAAACCUCCUGUAAGGUUUGGAGUGGAAAAGAAAUGCUCAACCAUUUUCACGAAAUGGGAAUAACCAAUAUUAGUUUUCCCAUUUUACAGAAACACCUUUCUGCUGUCUUGGAAAAAGAAGAAAAAAUAUCAAUGUUUGGUAAAGAGGAGCUUGUUGAGAUCCCUAUCGUGAGCUCUGCCACUCAGAUUGUGCUGAAAGGGUUAUUCAUGGUUCUUCUAUAUCUUUUUAAAGAUAACAGCAGGUUUGCAGAUGAUUACAGAGUUGCUUUGCAACAAACUUACGCUUGGACAAAUGAAAACCAACCUGAUGUUUCAGAUACAAGUGCUUUCCUUGCAAAGACCAAACAUAAAAAGAAUUUGCGACAUAAAACUGCAGUCCACAUGCUUAAUUUUUGGUGCUUGAAUCCUGCUGUGGCUUUUUCAGACCUAAAUGAUGUCAGAACAAUUGUUCUGACCUCUGGUACGCUCUCUCCAAUGGAUUCAUUUUCUUCCGAACUUGGCGUGAAGUUUUCCAUUCAGCUGGAGGCCAAUCAUGUUGUCCGGAACUCACAGGUUUGGGUUGGCACCAUUGGAGCAGGGCCGAAUGGUCGGAAGCUGUGCGCCACGUUCCAGCAUACAGAGACCUUUGAGUUCCAAGAUGAGGUGGGAGCACUUCUCCUUUCAGUGUGUCAAAGAGUUGGCCAAGGAAUUCUGUGUUUUUUGCCAUCCUAUAAGCUGUUGGACAAAUUGAAAGAUCGCUGGAUGCACACUGGCUUGUGGAGAAACCUGGAGCUUGUUAAGACAGUCAUUGCAGAGCCUCAAGGAGGAGCAAAAAGUGACUUCGAUGAACUGCUGAAAAUAUACUACGAUGCAAUAAAAUUUAAAGGAGGAAAAGAUGGAGCACUCCUAAUAGCUGUGUGCAGAGGAAAAGUUAGUGAAGGCUUGGAUUUCUGUGAUGAGAAUGCUCGAGCAGUUAUAACCAUAGGUAUUCCGUUCCCAAAUGUGAAAGACCUUCAGGUUGAAUUAAAGAGGAAGUAUAAUGAUCAGCAUAAAACUACAAGAGGCCUUUUAUCAGGGAGCCAGUGGUAUGAAAUCCAGGCUUACAGGGCUCUGAAUCAGGCCCUGGGAAGGUGUAUAAGGCAUAGGAGUGAUUGGGGUGCCCUUAUCUUAGUUGAUGACCGCUUCCGGAACAACCCUAACAAGUACAUAACUGGAUUAUCUAAAUGGAUUCGUCAACAAGUCCAGCAUCAUGAAAAUUUUGGUAGUGCACUCGAAUCCUUACAUGCAUUUGCUGAAAGAAACCAGAAAGGCAUUGAUUUUUCGUCACAGGGUAGCAAUGAAUUUUCCCAUGUACCUUUAAAUUCAAAAGAGCUGUCAUCAGCUUCUCAACAGGAGGCAACUAUUCACCUGUCACCAGAUGUUCCUGUUAAAACUGAGGAGCAAAGUUUGGUCCCAGGAACUCAUUUAACUACAACCAUCGACUCAAUUAAUCCUGAACCAUCAAAUCAGCCAAGUAAUAUCACAGCAAUAAUGCAGCAAAGUGGCCAGAAAGUUGAUGUGGAGAGUCAUUCUCACAAUGCAACACAAAGAAGAAAACAUAUGGACUCCAAACCCAGAAGGCCUGCAACUAAAACAGAGAGAGAAAAAAAGAGUGAUUGGACUAAUUCUGGUUUUAUGAAAGAGCACUGCUGCUUUAAACCACUGACUUCAACACCUUUGCCUGUAGCCACGAACUGCGUGUCCACAGCAAGCAGCAAACAAGGAAAGAAUGUGAACAGUGCUAGUGAACUUAUUGGUGGUGUAAAUCAAUGCCAGUCAUCAUUCACUUUAGAACGUAAACAAAGUAUACCAGAGUCACAUUUGGAAACAACUGAUUUUUCAGUCAAAAAUACAGAGGCCCCAGUUGCUGAGGAGCAUCUUGAUGAGCAAAAGCUUCACAUUGAGCCCAGUAGUGAGCUUCCUUCAGUAGGAGGGAAGCCUGAACUUUCAGUGUUAGACAUGUCUGCAGAAGCUGAGGAUGAGGAUGAGAGCCUUUACUUCACUCCAGAGCUCUAUGAUGAUGCAGAAUCUGAGGAACAGGAAAUGAGACCACUAGAUCCAGAUGAGAAUCAGAUUGAAUGUGGGAAACCCACAGUAGCUGAUGAUCUUUUUGUAAUCAAUACCUCAAAAACACUAAGUGAGCCAAAAGCAAUUACUAAUGCUGAUGUCAGAAACACAGGUUUACUUGGAACAAUGCUGAAUGAUAUCAGUAAGAAUAGUGCAGUUAAUAUUGAAAAGAUGACUAAUGGAAAAGAAGCAGAACAGGUAGAAUCUCAAGAGGUGGACACCAAAAAACGGAAAAUCAGUCUUUCCAGAUCAAGAAAUAAAGGAUUGAAAGUUCAGAGACAGUACAGAAGAGGAAAAUCUACUGUUAGGGCAAGAGACAACACCUGUGAAAAAAAGAAGGAAAACCAACAACAGCCUUGCAAGAGAGGACUUUACUGUAUUAUCUGCGGAGCAGAAAUACUACCAAAAGCAGAAGGCAUUUUGAGAAAAACUUGUUAUGGUGAUAUUGAGAUGAAAGUAAUCUUGAAACUCUUCAGAAGUACGCAUGUAAGAAGUAAGGAAUCCAGUAAUAACUGUACAUGUGAACUAGAUGUCACUUCAGAUGAUGAUAACAUGAUGUUGGUCAUCACAGAUGUUGCAAGUCUCAGUCAUCUUAAAGAAACUUUGAAGAUUUAUCAGAUGCCAGUGAAAAGCAAAGGCACGAAUGCCAGUUUAUCUUUAAAUGCGGUUUGGAAUGAGAAGGAAUAUUCUCUGACAAGUUACUUACAGUGCAAGAGCUGCCUCGUCCAGUCAAUGUCUCCGUGCCCUUUGAUAGGAGCUGAGGUUAUUCAUUUCAGCAAUAAAGCACAGUCAUGGGUCUGGCUGCUCCCAUCGUCUGUUCAUUAUUGCUUACUGCUACAGAACCCUCAAAAACGGAAAGCAGGCAAUUCAGAUUAUUCUUUAUCUUAAAAGAUUUUGCUGAUCUCUACCACAGAUUCAUCAGGACUAAUGAGACAGAUAAGUAAAGGAUUUUGUUAUUACAUGCUAACUCCAUAAAGAUACUCUGGGGUAAGCGGAGAGGUGGUACAAUCUUUCUUGUGAGUGGUGGGAAAGAGCUACCUGGUUACAAAUUCUGGCCCCACUGAAGUCAGCAGGGGUUCUGCCAUUUGCCUUCAACAAAGCAAAGGGUUUCACCAUGUGUUUAACAGGAAUAUUUUGCUGGAACUGUUGUCAGCAUGCUAGUAAAUAGACCAUUUUAAAAUUUGCCUUCUUUUUCACAUUCGAAUGUUUGUUCACCUCGCCUAUGCUUGAUGUAAUUUGAUACAAAAAAUUCUCCUCAAUUUCAUUUUAUUUCAGGUAGGUUUUGAAUUGGUUCAUUUUUUACUUCUUGUGCUUUUAGAGACCCCACGUGGCAAUGUCUGGGCUAAAAACACAGUAGGGGAAUGUUCACAUAUUUUGUCUUGCUGGGAUUUAAACUGAAUUAAAGAAAAACAGAAAUGAAAACAUUUGCAUUUGUUUAUGUAAUUAGAAAAAAAUCACAUAAAGCUGGGCCCGAGCUAGCCGAGAAUAUCUCUGUAAUGAACACAAACCUUUACCUUUUUGCAAGCACGCCGUAACUGCAGAGCUGCACAUAUCAUAUCUACCGUAUCAAUGACAUUUUGGAGUACGUAAAAAAACCCCACUCUAUUUGUCUUAGGAAAUAUCGAAAACUUUUAUAGGGAAUUUGGAAAAUAUUUUUUGGCCAGCAUGAAAGGUGAAAUCUUGCAGCACAAAGUACAGACAUGGGCACAGAGACUGAACAGACGGGCUGCUGUAAAACAACCAUUUAAUAAGGCAUUAAAAUGCCAUCGACUUGGACACAUAAAAAAAAAAAGCUAUGAAAACAAAUGCCUUUCAAAUAAUUAGGAUCUUAUGCUUGAGACCAGUGUUGAUCUCUAUGCAGAGAUUUUCCUGCUGAAAUCAGACCAGCCUAAGUCUGAUCGUCUAAGGAAGGAAUUAGCAGCGUAUAAAUCGGCUGCUGCUCGAGAUUUUUCUGUUUCUGCCAUACAUAACCAUUCAUUUAAAUGGCCACUUCAGACUUUCUAUCUCCUUCUUUCUGUUUCCUAGAGUAGUUUGAAACACAUUUGACUUAGUACGCCAGAAUAAUUUUUUAAUUGAAUCUUGAAUUUUUAUCAAGAGUACGUGAAAGGGUUGAAUUACCAGCUCCUGCCACACUGCAUAAGUGAAUCUGAGCCAAAUGCAGCCAGAAAUAGCAACAGAACCCAGUUCUGUUCUCCAAAACAUGGUGUGACUUUGCUUUCACUUGAAGUAAGGAACUUGGUGUUUAUAAUGCAUCAAAAUGAUAUAAAUCUGUCCUUCAACUCACCUGUAAUGCACGCAGACACAAAACCAAGAAGUAAAGUUGCCCAUUCAUGUCUGUGUAUUUACUCCUGGAUCACUGCUGUCAUGCUUGUCCUUGCCUGGAUACCUCACAGAAGACGCUCUAGUUACACAGAGCGUGUUUAAAACAACAGCAUCCGUGACAGUGUAGUUAACAUUAUUAAAAAAAAAAAUAGUAAAUGCGAUGUUGUCCGAGAGAUGAGCAUCAAAUUCUCAACUUGAAGCUGGAAUUUAAUAACAUUUCACAAAAGAAAUGUUUAAUGAAUAUUGCUUUUCACAUACAGUAAAGUGACUGUUUUGAUCUCCAUUUUGCUGUGCAUUAACAUCGAUAACCUUGGAUAAAUGGACGCACGGUCCUUCUGCUUUUUGUCUCGUUUCCUGUUCUGUCCUUAGCCUAAGGCACAGACUUUUAAACCUCUAAUUUUUCUUUCAGAUCUGUAAUUGCAAGUACUCUUAGAUUUUCUGUUUUUAACACAGGAUUUCACACAGAUGAGAACCCUGUGUGUAACUCCCAUAGCUAGGCAGAAUAGGAGAUCUUUCUCUUGAUAUUAUGAUUUCUUCUAUUAAUCGGUUUUAUAUGACUUUCUGCUAGCCUUGCUUUUAAAGGUGUGAAAACUUGCACUGCAGAGGUAUUUUAUAGAUUGCAACCAUAAUUUCUGAAUAAAAAUCUAAAUAACUGGUCUGGUUAUAAAGCUUUGGGCACAAUUUUUAGGUUCCUGGGAACUGCUGUUAAACCUCUGUUGCCAAUUGGCUAGCAGUACAUCCCAAUUAGUGACCCCUCUAUCUAGCAGUAGCUGUAUGUGAGUGACUUUUUAUUUUUUUUUUAAGUCAGUCGUAAAUGAUUAGUCCAAAAGAGUAGCAUAAAACUUCGAGCGAGUCCCCUGCAGGAGUCGGCUGGAGGAAAUUAAAGGAUCAACAACACAAGGGAAGCACUGAGGCAGGAUUGUUCCAGGCUGCAGCCACAGGCUUUCACAUGCACUCAGGAAAUUGACUUCAUCAAAAGCUGAGGAUGCAGGCGUGAGGAUGAGGAGGAUAAUACAGGUGAUGAUUCUAAAUCAUGGCUCAAUAUCACAGCGUUUUCCAAGGGAGAGGUUCCGUCCCGCCCUGAAGAAAGCAGGUUUUCUAUAUAAAAAUAGUCUUCUCCUUAUGAAUUAAUAAAAGUUGGGCACAAAUCUGAGCUAUAAAUCUAAUAUGACUUAAUAAAUAAUGAAGACUCAGUUUCCCCAAAACAAUAUCAGUUGGAUGUGGGGUUUUUUUUGCACAAGAAAAACAUGACUCCUUAUAAGCUCCACUGCUCAGUACAGAGCGUUAUUGCCCUGUGCACGUUUGUGUUUGUGAGAGCUGUAAAACAAAGGACUCCAGAGUGCUUCAGACUUACAGGCAGGCAAGGAGUUUUCUUUAAUGCUUCUAAGCAAAUUCUUGCUGCAGAAAUUUGGAUAUUCUGGGUCCAUGAUGAAGCUGAAACCUUCCUAGUGUAGUUGGAAAGAGUUGCAAGAGGGGAAAUGCAUAAAUCUACAUCUGGAGCCAAGUAUGCUGGGAAGGCGUAAAGAGAUGGGGAAGCAGGAGUGCCAGAACAGGGCUGAGAGCAUGAAAUUCUGCAGGGAAAAAUGGGAGAAAGAAAGAGGAAUGUCCCAGGAAUGAAGCUCUUAUAAUGUUCAAAUCUUUCCUCGGAAGUAAAAGUGUGGAAGGCUAUAAUCCAAAUAAGGAAAUUAGAACAAAAAUUAACAAUAUUCAGCUAUUCAGAUGUCAAAAGAAACAGCAGAGUUAUUGGUGUUAGAGGUUAUUGCCAGGAGGGAAAAACUCAGCAUGCUUUGGGUAAUUAAGCUUCAUUGGAGAGCAUGGAUCCCUUCUCCAGGUAAGAAAUGCUUUUAUAACACAGCAUCUUUUGCUAUUGUAAUUAAACACCACGGACUAUUCUGCAUAUGAAGUCUUAAACGCUUUAGUCCUUUAUCAUGGGAUUUUACUGGCCAGGCAUGUGUGUUCUUAUGGCAAAAAGCAUUGGCUGCUAUAAAAAAAGAAACCCAAACAUUUCUUUUUAUGACUUGACUUGCUGUAUUUUUAUAUAUAUUGAGCCAAAUCCAUCCCUUGUGGAGCUGAGUUGAAGCCAAUAAGGAUAGAUUUGGCCCAUGUCUAUAUGAGAAAGGUGGUGACAAUUAAAAUAUAUUGUUUAAUAAUGAGAGCUAUGGUAGUGAAGUGUCUUUGUGUCUAUGAAAUUAUACACCACGACACCACACUGCCAGUAGAGAGUGGGGCUAGCAAAACAAGUAAGAGCAGUUUCUGAUGGAAAGGCAAAAGCGCUCUAACUUUUAUUAUUAUGAUUAAAUAUCACAAAGGCAAGACUAAUUUAGGUAACAUCUCCAGAAGUCUCAUUUAUAGUGUAGUAUUUUGCCACAGUGUAUUUUAAAAUAUUUCUUGCAUGUCAUUAUAUGUAGCUAGCAAGGGUAGUAUGACUGGCUGCCAUUAGCAGUAAGUAAAAGAACGGUUCUUAUUUCAUUUAUAUUUUAGUGAUUUUCAGUAAUGCUGCAAAAAGGAAUGCAUCCUAUGAAAUGAAAUGUGCAGACAGCCAUUAUUAUCACUUUAUAUUGGUAGUUCCCAGCGGUUCCUCUGUGUGAGGCGUUGCACCAGCACAUGAAAUCCACUGCUGAUACCCUGAAGAUCUUCAGAUCUUGCCUAUUUAGGCAGUGAGAUAUGCAAAGCUUAUUGCACAGACAACCAGGUCAUCUGUACAAAACCAGAACAAAUGAGUUUUGUUUGGCUCCUUGACAUGGUGGGUUGCAGGAAGCAAAUCUUCUCUUGUAUCCCUGUUGGUAAGUUAUAACAACUUUUAUACGCCAAAGCCCUACUCAACUGCCUACUGACUUGUAUCCCUUUACUGAAGAUAUUUGGGUAAUGGAUACUCACAGCCAGUAAUCACAGACUUAAACCCAAGCUCUUCAAGGGGGUUGCCAGAAAGCUGGGCUCAACCAUGCAGCUCUGUAAAGAAGCUGAGCACUUAGAGAACACUGGCCAGCAGCAAUGGAGCCCAGGAGCAAUGGCCGAAGGCAAUCAAUCCAUUGCCCUGCUGAGCUAAUGGGCUCCAGCUGAAAAGGUACCUCUUAUAUGAAAAUAAUGGGACUUGGGAAGCCUCUCACCCUCAAAAACAGAGGAAAAGAAAAUGCGCAGCAGAAGUUCUUUUUUGCUGUAAUUAUUACUCAUUCUGAAUCUCUAUCAUAGAAAUCUGGCCUUUGGCACUGGAUUAAGAUAAUAUUUUAUUAGAAGAAAGCAUGAUUCAUCAAAUUGAUGCGUUGCAGUAUCUGUGGAAAGGAAAACUGGGAAGGACACAAAAGAAGCUGGGCUGUGGAAAACCACUGCCAAACAGAGAGUCUCAGACUGCACUAAGAAACAACAAAAAAGAAAAUAUUUCCAAAGAAACAUCUGAGCACAGCAUUACAGCCAAGUGAAGAAUUAUUACUGCAUUAGGCUUUCAGAGUGGGGCAUGCAGUGUAUGUGGUAGGAGAAUACCCUGUCAUUUUGAAAUUAAAGAAAAGUGCAUGUGUUCCACAUCAAAACUCAGUUCCUCAGAAGGCUUGUUUGCAUGCUGCCAGUUGCUUCUGCUCUUUGUCAAGAAGAAUAUUUUUAUUUUCUAGUUACCAUUUUCUCCCUCUCUCUCUCCUCCUCAUCAUUUUCAAGUUCACCAUUUCCUUGUGUUUAUUUCCUUGCUGUUGACUUCCUGCUUCCAUUCUUUUCUGUCUGGAGUAUGAAUAUUGAUUUUCAGGCGAUCUGAUUAAGUGCUUUGCAGAGUAGCUGCUCAGACGCACUGGGCAUGACUAAACCAUGAUUUGCGGAGUGUGUCUGCGUCAUCCAUCAAGCACAACUACUCUCUGCCUCAGACCUAACCUGUGCGCAGCGAAGCCAAGGCUGAAAGCCUUGAAAAGAAGAUCAGAGGCCUGGUCUUGCCAUGCUGAAAUCUAUAAAAGUUUUCCUACUGACUUCAACAGAAACAGGACUAAGCCUUAUGAUUCUGGCAGGAAAAUCUGAGAAUAUUCCUUUACAGCUCUCUACUGAAUGUUGAACUCCAGAAUACAUUGUUGUCAGCCUUAUGUAAGACAGAGACUGUUAAGGAAAGACAGUAGUUUUGCACAUACUGUUCUCUGCACAUGUUGUUCUUCAGUAAAUAUUUAUCAAAGGAUGCGUCCGUUCCUGCUGGCAGCGUCCGAGGCAUUGGACAAAUUUGGCCUGAUUUCCUGCUGUCAGUGCAAACCUCCCAACUAGAAGCUGAAUUUAUCAAGUUUCGUCUUUCAAAACUGUUAAAAUCAUUCUUAUCCAAGUAGAUAGUGCUGACAAAAAUGGUCAUUCGAUGAAAUACUCUUUAAGAAAAGGCACGUCCUCCAGCUUGUAAGUACAGCCCCACUGAAAAUAUUCAUCAAAACUGUAACAAAGCACGGCUAAAGGCCAAAAAUUUGUAUUUGCUGAAAACUGAGGAAAACGGCAACAGAAAGAAAACCAGAUGAAAGUUUGUUGGCACUUGCAGGAUACUUGUUCAGGCCUCUUACCCUCUACUAUUUGUCUGUGGAACUAGACUCUUCUGACCUGUUCUAGCUAUUCCUCACAUGUUCCUUUCAGUGUGUUUUACUUUUCUUGUGCUUGAACAAGUUUAUAAUUAGCAUAAAAUAAGCCUGAUUUUAAUUGAGUUAGCAUUAUCAGCACUUUGCACUAAUUUAUAUACCCUUUCAUUUCCUCUUUUAAGCUCUUUUUAGGUCAGACUUAGGCUUGGGGCUGUGCUUUGGUGCACACUGUGCAAAGGAUGUGGUGGCUGAACAGAAAGGGCUUGGAUCCCAAAGCCUCAGGGCUUACUACCACCAGAUGCCUGAACUGAAAUCUCUCUUUUGGAGUGCAGUUCUUCUGGAAGAGAACCUGAGGAGCUGCAGCUGCGCCUUCUCUACCUAUGCCUGGUACUUACAGCACCCCGUGGCUAAAGGGACCUGUGGUCACCUCCUCAACUCCUGACGGACACAGCCUGCAGUGUGCCAUGGGCUGGGAGAGUUAAUGGUUUGGAGGAGACUGUUCCACCCGCAUGGGAAUAAUUAGCAUUGCAAGGACUGUGAGGCCCCAGGCCACUGCCCAGGUCAUGCAGAUGGAAAGAAGCAAUGUGUCCAAGCCCCAUGCUGGCUGCUAAUGGCAUACCUCAGGGAUACUGGGACUCCUGGGAGCAUUUCUCUAAACUUUGUGCUGUGAAGAACAGCUGGCAGUGGCAGCGGUCAGGGAGUGGCUGCUACCCAGCCCUGCUGGCACUGAGGAGGUGGCUUUGUGCGUGCCCCUAGGGAGGCUGCAUCUAUAUGAAGAUCUGGAGGUUUAUGCUAUCUUUUUAUUAUUGAAGGCUUGUUACUUCAAACCCACCAUGACUGCUGCGGCUCAGUCCCAGAAACUGUCAGUCAGGGAUGCUUUCUGGUUGCCAUUACAGCAGGGGCUCACUGGCAGACAGGUGCCUGCCCUCACUAGGCCUCAUUCGGCCUCGCUAGGCUUGCUUGGCCUUACUCGACAUCACUAGGCCACACUAGGCCACACUAGGCCACACUAGGCCACACUAGGCCUCACUAGGCUGCAUCACUGCCCAGACAGCUCUCAACUGGGCCAUGAAGCCCAAACCCAAGUUUAAUUUUAAACUUCACCUCAAUUUAAACACAACACAGGCUGCUCUGUACCACCCAGAGCUGGCACACGGCGUGGAUCUGCCACGACACUGCUGCCUGAAGGCUUUUCCUUAGGGGGGGCUCUGUGAUGGGCACCACCUGGGCAGCAGUUUCACACAUGACAUUGUUUUUGUUUUGAAUUCGUGUCGGAAAAGGCUUUUUUGCUUUUGUUGUACCGCUCCCAACAUUUUCUGCUCUUUCAUUUUUAAUACUGAACCUGUACUUUGUAGAAAGGAAAUAGGUCAAAACUUUAUUCUCCCCAGCAGCAAGUUGUUGGCUCAUGACUUCUGUUACAACCAACUAUCAAAGCAAUGAAAGCCCUCGCUUCACAUUGAAUUUGGGCUGCCUCUUGUCACAGGCAAGUGCGUGGCACCUCCUUGGAGCAGAACCUUAAAUUAAAAUAUUGUAAAUUUUUUGCUGCUCCAGCAGUACUGCAGAAAUGCAAGUGGCCAAGGGGGGAGGAGGUUUUUUCCUCCUGCUGGAAUUUUUCACUAUAACCAUCCUCAGGGGAGUUCUCAUCUUCAAAAGAAACAUUCCUUCUAUACAAGCUGCAAAAAGAAUUAUUUAAUGACAUCAUAAAUUAAUACAGAGAGGCACAAAUUUUCCAAAAUGUGGAGAGAGAGAAAAAAAAAAAUUAUCGUUUGCCAAAAACACCCAAGCUCUUCCAGACUAAGGCCUCUCCUGAGCCUGGGAGCUGCCAACGAUACCAAACUGAACGGUGGGGUUUCUGGCAUGACUCAAGUUUAGCUUGUUUAAAUUUUGGCAAAUACUCGUAUUACUCAUAUACUCAGCAAACUGAUACAAAUAUUUGUUCUAUUUAGAGUGAAGUCCAAACUCACUGCUGGCACCAGUGCUGCUGGACUCAGUGGAACUAAUCUUGCUCAUGCCAGUAUGAAAUUUGGACAUCUACCUUAAAGAAAAACAGCCUUUGAGGUACAGAUUAGAAUACAUCAAUGGAAAACAGAACUCGUGUGUAGCCAAGUUUUCCUCACUUGCUAAUUUUUGCUUUAAUCUGAUUUGAACUGGACCACGUUUUUCUGGACUUGGGCUGCUACUCGCUGUUAUGAUGCAGCCACCAGGUCAGAGCUGGAGCUGGAAAAGCCUUCAUGCACGUGAAGUUCUCUGCAUUCUUGAGAAGUGAAAUCUGUAGUAAGUAGAGCCUGGGCACAGUGAGCAUAUUUGAUUGAUUGUAGUGCUGUAUAGGUUGCUUCUUUUUAAUGAUGCCUUCAGUUUACUGUUUCUGGUUUGUAAAGCAAAUAGACAAACAACCAACCAGAUGGGAAAUGCAGACCUGCCUUGGGGCUUGGGUUCCGCAUCUGGUCGCACCUGCGCUUUGCCCAUGAGCUCUCUCUGGGUUCGGAUUCAAAAAACAGGUUAGGCAUUGUGCAAUGAGAAGAGCAAGACGAAAACCACCACCCUUCCAUUCCUUAAUGCAGCCAACGCAUGCCCCAGGGGUGUGCUGGCUGAGGAUCUGUGCUCAGUUCAGCUGUGGUUUGUAAGCAGCAUGCUGUUUAAUGCUAUCUAAAUGUUUUUAUAAAGGUCAAGUAGGAGUGGGAUCCUCCUAACUUAACUUUAGCCAUUUAGAAAUGAGAAAUCUAGUCUGCCUGAGCUAGAUUCCUCUGCGAGUGGAAAAUAUCAGCACUGCAGAAUGAUUCAUCCCAUUUUAAUCUGCCCAGUCUCUCUCCAUUGACUAUAAAAGGGGCCUGGAUGACCAGAUUAGCAUAUACCCAAAUUUUAGACACAUAUGUGCUCACUCAGCAUUUUACAAUCAGCCCUGCAGUGGCCAUACCAGGUACUAUUUUCACAGCUCACGGUGUGCCACAGGGCUGCACGCAGUGCCUGCACAGCUCCCGUGGCUCCUGGAGCAAUGAAUCUUGGCUGUGAGCAUUGCUGCAUGUGUCCUCAGCCUCGGUCUUAAAACCUGGAUUGCUUACAGGUUCAGGGCUCAUCUGUACUGCCUUGACAGAAAGCUGCUGGGCCAAUUCUUGUAGGAGCUGCUUCCAAAACAGCCUUAGAUGCAUAAAUAUUGUAUUGAGUGACAUAAAGUUUAAAAAAAAAAAGUUAAAAAAAGAAGCAGUGACUACUCCUUGAAAAGGGCAUUAUUAUUAUUGGCCAUAGUUGUGAAACAGGUAAAAUAUCCCAAAAAGAGUCAAGUGCACAUCUGGAUAAAGUGUGGGAUUGGUGUAAUUGGACAGAAGAAGGGAGAAGACAGAGCAAGCAUCCAGUAAUUCACCACGGAACAGCUUUAUGCUUGUUAUUGAAAUGCAGCCAGAGACAGUUAAUAGUAGUAAAAUGACUUUAUGUUCUGAUAUGUAAAAUAAAAUGUCCAUGCUAUGUAACAAACAGUUGAAAAUUCCACACCACCUGUAUCUAUCGUGGUUUCUAAUAAAAUUUUAUCUGUAGUAUAUAUGGUUUUUAUCUAACCA
This is an RNA transcript of Lagopus leucura (white-tailed ptarmigan), 13968 nucleotides long. It is a transcript of the gene named BRCA1 interacting helicase 1, with no coding region annotated. The transcript is spliced from 26 exons. Lineage: Eukaryota; Metazoa; Chordata; Aves; Galliformes; Phasianidae. The record is from RefSeq and is a predicted model, not a curated record.